RNAcentral lists this ribosomal RNA (268 nucleotides) under Vibrio parahaemolyticus. RNAcentral's name for it is "partial 16S ribosomal RNA". It matches the Rfam family "Bacterial small subunit ribosomal RNA", at positions 1276 to 1533 of the family's 1533-position model. The record is from RNAcentral. Lineage: Bacteria; Pseudomonadati; Pseudomonadota; Gammaproteobacteria; Vibrionales; Vibrionaceae.
AAAAAGUGCGUCGUAGUCCGGAUUGGAGUCUGCAACUCGACUCCAUGAAGUCGGAAUCGCUAGUAAUCGUGGAUCAGAAUGCCACGGUGAAUACGUUCCCGGGCCUUGUACACACCGCCCGUCACACCAUGGGAGUGGGGCUGCAAAAGAAGUAGGUAGUUUAACCUUCGGGGGGACGCUUACCACUUUGUGGUUCAUGACUGGGGUGAAGUCGUAACAAGGUAGCGCUAGGGGAACCUGGCGCUGGAUCACCUCCUUAAACGAUGAU